RNAcentral lists this ribosomal RNA (497 nucleotides) under uncultured bacterium. RNAcentral describes it as "partial 16S ribosomal RNA". It matches the Rfam family "Bacterial small subunit ribosomal RNA", at positions 28 to 507 of the family's 1533-position model. The record is from RNAcentral.
GACGAACGCUGGCGGCGUGCCUAAUACAUGCAAGUAGAACGCUGAAGAGAGGAGCUUGCUCUUCUUGGAUGAGUUGCGAACGGGUGAGUAACGCGUAGGUAACCUGCCUUGUAGCGGGGGAUAACUAUUGGAAACGAUAGCUAAUACCGCAUAACAAUGGAUGACACAUGUCAUUUAUUUGAAAGGGGCAAUUGCUCCACUACAAGAUGGACCUGCGUUGUAUUAGCUAGUAGGUGAGGUAAUGGCUCACCUAGGCGACGAUACAUAGCCGACCUGAGAGGGUGAUCGGCCACACUGGGACUGAGACACGGCCCAGACUCCUACGGGAGGCAGCAGUAGGGAAUCUUCGGCAAUGGGGGCAACCCUGACCGAGCAACGCCGCGUGAGUGAAGAAGAUUUUCGGAUCGUAAAGCUCUGUUGUAAGUCAAGAACGGGUGUGAGAGUGGAAAGUUCACACUGUAACGGUAGCUUACCAGAAAGGGACGGCUAACUACGUG